Molecule: transfer RNA, 90 nt
Filed under: Alphaproteobacteria bacterium
Lineage: Bacteria; Pseudomonadati; Pseudomonadota; Alphaproteobacteria
Description: tRNA-Ser
Rfam family: tRNA
About the family: Transfer RNA (tRNA) molecules are approximately 80 nucleotides in length. Their secondary structure includes four short double-helical elements and three loops (D, anti-codon, and T loops). Further hydrogen bonds mediate the characteristic L-shaped molecular structure. tRNAs have two regions of fundamental functional importance: the anti-codon, which is responsible for specific mRNA codon recognition, and the 3' end, to which the tRNAs corresponding amino acid is attached (by aminoacyl-tRNA synthetases). tRNAs cope with the degeneracy of the genetic code in two manners: having more than one tRNA (with a specific anti-codon) for a particular amino acid; and 'wobble' base-pairing, i.e. permitting non-standard base-pairing at the 3rd anti-codon position.
Source: RNAcentral
GGAGGGAUGGCCGAGUGGUUUAUGGCGCACGCCUGGAAAGUGUGUUGGGGUUAACGCCCCUCCGGGGUUCGAAUCCCCGUUCCUCCGCCA